AAUCGGGCUGCUUCCUGUUGGUGAGCAGACAGCGUGGUGAGCGUGUCCACGCCCAGGUCUCAAGUGUGUGAAAGUGCGGCUGAAGAUGGGCUCCUGUGUGGGGUACCUCUCAGGAGACUUUGGAAGGAAAUUGUUGUUAUCCCUUUUAGGUCAAACACAAAAUUCCCUACUCUAAGUGCCCGUCAAUUGUGAAGAAAACACAGCAAAAGGAGAAAUGUGCUCUUCACAGAUAUUAAAGUCAAGAGUUAGACAUCUUCCACGCCCAAGCUAAGAGAGGAUUCUGGGAAGAUGGUGGAGCACCUAUGAAGUGAGAAUCUGUCUCCCCAC
Diceros bicornis minor is the source of this 327-nucleotide long non-coding RNA. RefSeq lists it as uncharacterized. The record is from RefSeq and is a predicted model, not a curated record. Lineage: Eukaryota; Metazoa; Chordata; Mammalia; Perissodactyla; Rhinocerotidae. The transcript has 3 exons.